RNAcentral lists this long non-coding RNA (2149 nucleotides) under Eutrema salsugineum. RNAcentral's name for it is "long non-coding RNA (ESAL_LNC000716)". The record is from RNAcentral. Lineage: Eukaryota; Viridiplantae; Streptophyta; Magnoliopsida; Brassicales; Brassicaceae.
UUGCAUACAGGAAAUUUGAAUUAUUAAAUGAUAUAUGAUAUCUAUAAGAACAAAGUUCAUUUGACCUUUUUAUAUUGAUGGAUAUAGUAAUGAAUAAUGUUUAUUGCACAUAUGAUUUGAAGUUUUAAAAGUUCAUGUUAUAGUUGUCCCAGCCUCUACCUAUAACAUUUGUAACACCAGCAUAAUCUUUGGCUUCUAUUCCGAACAAACGAUCUACAUGUGCCGUUAAGAAUCCUCUGUUCUUGCUGAUGAGAUAUGCAAAUUUCAUUGCAUUUUGCGUCACCUUCACCACGUUUUCGACAAAUAUUAUAGUUUUUUUGAUAUUGAGUUAACGUCCCCCAUGCACAUCCAUUGUAGAACCUAUCAUCAGCCUUUCCUCUUGAUAUUCCUAAUACAUUGAUGAUCGAUGUGUAAGAAACAUUCAAAAUCCCUCUAAUUAAAAAUGCAUAUCUUAAUUUUAUUUAGAUCUUAGUCGAAAAACAAAAAAAAAACAGUUCUCUUAUAUAAUAGAACUAUAGAAGUCACUAAUCAUUUGGGGGUUUAAUUACGUUUUCAAUUUCUUAGAACAAAAAUUAAAUCAUAAGAGAGUAAAACAUUAGAAGCAGAAGCAAAGUCAAUUUUGAUGACAAUGCGGAAUUUCUGGAGCAUGGGUUUCACUAAAAUUAUUUUCGAAGGUGACUGUCAGGUGGACAUCUUCCAUCACUAAAAUUAUUUUCAAAGUCACGAUACCAAUAUUCUAAAUAAUAAUGGAACAAGACAUCAGCAUUGACAACAUCAUUACGGACAUCUUCCAUUGGGCCUCCAAAUUCCAAUCGUGUUUGUAUAUGUCUAUUUCCCGAAAUUUAAACAAUCCAGCACAUAUUCUUGCAAAGAAGGGACCUCCAAAACAAAUUUAUUACUCUGGAUGUUUGUAUCCACCCAAUUGGUUACCACAAGUAUUGUAUCGUGACUAUGUAACUUCAAAAUUUAGUUAAUAAUUUUUUUAUUUGCAGAAUAAAAGAGAAUAAAACAUUUUUGUUGAGAAAAUAGUUUUAUUUUAAAAGUGUGAAUCUAAACACAAACUCCAAAUGAAAAGGGAAUUCUUUUUAUUUUUACAUUAGCUAAUGAAAUUUGUUGAAAAUGUCUAAAGAUAUGAUUUCGUUUGAAAAGAAUACACAGUAGUUAUAAAACCCAAUAGAAAAGAGGUUUCACAAAAAAAAAAAAAUCAUCUCAAUAAACCUACAUCAUUGGGCGGAUCUUGAGAAAUAAUCAAACAAAAUAGAUUUUAUCCAGUGCAUCCACACGGGAAUUUUGUUUUAAUCAAAAUUUGUGAUCUAAUUUGUUUUUUUUAUAAAUAUAAUUUUUUAAUAAAUAAUAUAAAAAAAUUAUGUUUAGAUAUCAUUUUUUUUAGUAUUAUUAUAACCACCAUGAUCAUAAAAACAUAAUUUUAACUCGAUUAUUUUAUUAAUCAAAAAGUGACCGAUAUUAUAAAAAUAUAUUUCUAACUCGCUCAUUUUAUUAAUCCAAAAAGAUCAUGAUUAUAAAACUAUAAUUCUAACCCACCCGUUUAUAUUACUGUAUAAUAUAAAUAUUUACUAAUUUUAAAAUAAUUUUCUCCUAAUAUCUUGCAUGUUUUGAUAACCUAAUCCACAUAAGACCAUAAUUAUAAAAAAAAAACUUAACUUAUCUAUUUUCAAUAUGUGAAAUUUUAAUCUGAUAGAAUAUGAUUAAAAAAAUAUAAUAAGAUAUUUGUUAGUCAUAUGUGUCAUUCUGAAAAUCUUAUUUAAAUUCAAAAUAUUAAAUUAAAUCUAACUUAUAUUUAAGGAAGUCUAGUUAAAUUAAUAUCAAUAGAUUAUAGAUAGAACAAUAUUUAAGGAAAUUUUUAGUUAUCUAAAUUAAUAUCUAAUUUUUCAGAAUUAAAUUUAUAUAUAUAAAAAUAUUUUUAAAAAAAAAAUUUGGAAGUGUUUGAAAACAAACACUAAAAAUAUUUUGUUUUAAUAUAAUAGAUUUAAUAUAAUAGAUAUAAUAGUAAGACUUCAAAGAGAUUCAUAGAUCAUAAUGUAUAUUACCUGUUGAAAUCAACGAGAUUAUCAUCAUAAAGGUGAUGAACCCAACGAUGUUUACACCUUUAAACAUUUCUGCUUUUAAUUUAUGUUUUUUUACCUUUCUU